RNAcentral lists this ribosomal RNA (444 nucleotides) under uncultured bacterium. RNAcentral describes it as "bacterial SSU rRNA". It matches the Rfam family "Bacterial small subunit ribosomal RNA", at positions 355 to 822 of the family's 1533-position model. The record is from RNAcentral.
UCGGGAAUUUUGGACAAUGGGCGCAAGCCUGAUCCAGCCAUGCCGCGUGAGUGACGAAGGCCUUAGGGUUGUAAAGCUCUUUUGGCGGGGAAGAUAAUGACGGUACCCGCAGAAUAAGCUCCGGCUAACUUCGUGCCAGCAGCCGCGGUAAUACGAAGGGAGCUAGCGUUGUUCGGAAUCACUGGGCGUAAAGCGCACGUAGGUGGGCAGUUAAGUCAGGGGUGAAAGCCCGAGGCUCAACCUCGGAAUUGCCUCUGAUACUGGCUGUCUAGAGUUCGAGAGAGGUGAGUGGAAUUCCUAGUGUAGAGGUGAAAUUCGUAGAUAUUAGGAAGAACACCGGUGGCGAAGGCGGCUCACUGGCUCGAUACUGACACUGAGGUGCGAAAGCGUGGGGAGCAAACAGGAUUAGAUACCCUCGUAGUCCCUGAGCGGGCUGGCAAGGCG